UAGUCCACACCCUAAACGAUGCUUACUCGAUGUUUGGGGAGACACAGUCUGUGGCUAAGCGAAAGUUUUAAGUAAUCCACCUGGGGAGUACGAUCGCAAGAUUGAAACUCAAAGGAAUUGACGGGGGCCCGCACAAGCGGAGGAACAUGUGGUUUAAUUCGAUGAUACGCGAGGAACCUUACCUGGACUUAAAUGUACGUUGCAUAGAUUGGAGACAGUCUUUUCUUCGGACUACGUACAAGGUGCUGCAUGGUUGUCGUCAGCUCGUGCCGUGAGGUGUUGGGUUAAGUCCCGCAACGGGCGCAACCCCUAUUGUUAGUUGCCAGCAUUAAGUUGGGGACUCUAGCAAGACUGCCGGCGUAAGCCGCGAGGAAGGUGGGGACGACGUCAAAUCAUCAUGGCCUUUAUGCCUAGGGCGACACACGUGCUACAAUGGUGCAUACAGAGGGUUGCUAAGCCGCGAGGUGGAGCUAAUCCCAGAAAGUGCAUCCCAGUUCGGAUUGGAGU
Molecule: ribosomal RNA, 507 nt
Filed under: uncultured bacterium
Lineage: Bacteria
Description: bacterial SSU rRNA
Rfam family: Bacterial small subunit ribosomal RNA
Source: RNAcentral